UGCCACGAGAAUAAAGGAGCAGCCUCC
This 27-nucleotide non-coding RNA is filed under the name Homo sapiens (human). Lineage: Eukaryota; Metazoa; Chordata; Mammalia; Primates; Hominidae. The record is from RNAcentral.